UAGGCAGCAGUGGGGAAUUUUCCGCAAUGGGCGAAAGCCUGACGGAGCAAGACCGCGUGAGGGAGGAAGGCCCUUGGGUUGUAAACCUCUUUUCUCAGGGAAUAAGACAGUGAAGGUACCUGAGGAAUAAGCCUCGGCUAACUCCGUGCCAGCAGCCGCGGUAAUACGGAGGAGGCAAGCGUUAUCCGGAAUCAUUGGGCGUAAAGCGUCCGCAGGUGGCCCAUCAAGUCUGCGGUCAAAGGCCACAGCUUAACUGUGGAAAGGCCGUGGAAACUGAAGAGCUAGAGAGAGGUAGGGGCAGAGGGAAUUCCCGGUGUAGCGGUGAAAUGCGUAGAGAUCGGGAAGAACACCAGUGGCGAAAGCGCUCUGCUGGACCUCAACUGACACUGAGGGACGAAAGCUAGGGGAGCGAAAGGGAUUAGAUACCCCUGUAGUCCUAGCCGUAAACGAUGGAAACUAGGUGUGGCUCGUAUCGACCCGAGCCGUGCCGGAGCUAACGCGUUAAGUUUCCCGCCUGGGGAGUACGCACGCAAGUGUGAAACUCAAAGGAAUUGACGGGGGCCCGCACAAGCGGUGGAGUAUGUGGUUUAAUUCGAUGCAACGCGAAGAACCUUACCAGGGCUUGACAUGUCUGGAAUCCCCUUGAAAGGGGGGAGUGCCUUAGGGAACCAGAACACAGGUGGUGCAUGGCUGUCGUCAGCUCGUGUCGUGAGAUGUUGGGUUAAGUCCCGCAACGAGCGCAACCCUCGUUUUUAGUUGCCAGCAUUAAGUUGGGCACUCUAAAGAGACUGCCGGUGACAAACCGGAGGAAGGUGGGGAUGACGUCAAGUCAGCAUGCCCCUUACGCCCUGGGCGACACACGUACUACAAUGCUACGGACAAAGGGCAGCCAAGUCGCAAGGCUGAGCCAAUCCCAGAAACCGUGGCACAGUUCAGAUCGAAGCUUGCAACUCAGCUUCGUGAAGGCGGAAUCGCUAGUAAUCGCCGGUCAGCAUACGGCGGUGAAUACGUUCCCGGGCCUUGUACACACCGCCAA
Molecule: ribosomal RNA, 1036 nt
Filed under: uncultured bacterium
Lineage: Bacteria
Description: bacterial SSU rRNA
Rfam family: Bacterial small subunit ribosomal RNA
Source: RNAcentral